RNAcentral lists this ribosomal RNA (2775 nucleotides) under Enterobacter cloacae. RNAcentral's name for it is "bacterial LSU rRNA". It matches the Rfam family "Bacterial large subunit ribosomal RNA". Lineage: Bacteria; Pseudomonadati; Pseudomonadota; Gammaproteobacteria; Enterobacterales; Enterobacteriaceae. The record is from RNAcentral.
AGCGUACACGGUGGAUGCCCUGGCAGUCAGAGGCGAUGAAGGACGUGCUAAUCUGCGAAAAGCGCCGGCGAGGUGAUAUGAACCUUUGACCCGGCGAUGUCCGAAUGGGGAAACCCAGUGUGUUCCGACACACUAUCGUUAACUGAAUACAUAGGUUAACGAGGCGAACCGGGGGAACUGAAACAUCUAAGUACCCCGAGGAAAAGAAAUCAACCGAGAUUCCCCCAGUAGCGGCGAGCGAACGGGGAGCAGCCCAGAGUCUGAAUCAGCUUGUGUGUUAGUGGAAGCGUCUGGAAAGUCGCACGGUACAGGGUGACAGUCCCGUACACGAAAGCACACAGGUUGUGAACUCGAAGAGUAGGGCGGGACACGUGGUAUCCUGUCUGAAUAUGGGGGGACCAUCCUCCAAGGCUAAAUACUCCUGACUGACCGAUAGUGAACCAGUACCGUGAGGGAAAGGCGAAAAGAACCCCGGCGAGGGGAGUGAAAAAGAACCUGAAACCGUGUACGUACAAGCAGUGGGAGCCUCUUUUAUGGGGUGACUGCGUACCUUUUGUAUAAUGGGUCAGCGACUUAUAUUCUGUAGCAAGGUUAACCGUAUAGGGGAGCCGAAGGGAAACCGAGUCUUAACUGGGCGUUAAGUUGCAGGGUAUAGACCCGAAACCCGGUGAUCUAGCCAUGGGCAGGUUGAAGGUUGGGUAACACUAACUGGAGGACCGAACCGACUAAUGUUGAAAAAUUAGCGGAUGACUUGUGGCUGGGGGUGAAAGGCCAAUCAAACCGGGAGAUAGCUGGUUCUCCCCGAAAGCUAUUUAGGUAGCGCCUCGUGAACUCAUCUUCGGGGGUAGAGCACUGUUUCGGCUAGGGGGCCAUCCCGGCUUACCAACCCGAUGCAAACUACGAAUACCGAAGAAUGUUAUCACGGGAGACACACGGCGGGUGCUAACGUCCGUCGUGAAGAGGGAAACAACCCAGACCGCCAGCUAAGGUCCCAAAGUCAUGGUUAAGUGGGAAACGAUGUGGGAAGGCACAGACAGCCAGGAUGUUGGCUUAGAAGCAGCCAUCAUUUAAAGAAAGCGUAAUAGCUCACUGGUCGAGUCGGCCUGCGCGGAAGAUGUAACGGGGCUAAACCAUGCACCGAAGCUGCGGCAGCGACACUAUGUGUUGUUGGGUAGGGGAGCGUUCUGUAAGCCGUUGAAGGUGUCCUGUGAGGGGUGCUGGAGGUAUCAGAAGUGCGAAUGCUGACAUAAGUAACGAUAAAGCGGGUGAAAAGCCCGCUCGCCGGAAGACCAAGGGUUCCUGUCCAACGUUAAUCGGGGCAGGGUGAGUCGACCCCUAAGGCGAGGCCGAAAGGCGUAGUCGAUGGGAAACAGGUUAAUAUUCCUGUACUUGGUGUUACUGCGAAGGGGGGACGGAGAAGGCUAUGUUAGCCGGGCGACGGUUGUCCCGGUUUAAGCAUGUAGGCGGAGGUUCCAGGUAAAUCCGGUUCCUUGUUAACGCUGAGGUGUGAUGACGAGGCACUACGGUGCUGAAGUAACAAAUGCCCUGCUUCCAGGAAAAGCCUCUAAGCAUCAGGUAACAUCAAAUCGUACCCCAAACCGACACAGGUGGUCAGGUAGAGAAUACCAAGGCGCUUGAGAGAACUCGGGUGAAGGAACUAGGCAAAAUGGUGCCGUAACUUCGGGAGAAGGCACGCUGAUAUGUAGGUGAAGCCCCUGCGGGUGGAGCUGAAAUCAGUCGAAGAUACCAGCUGGCUGCAACUGUUUAUUAAAAACACAGCACUGUGCAAACACGAAAGUGGACGUAUACGGUGUGACGCCUGCCCGGUGCCGGAAGGUUAAUUGAUGGGGUUAGCGGUAACGCGAAGCUCUUGAUCGAAGCCCCGGUAAACGGCGGCCGUAACUAUAACGGUCCUAAGGUAGCGAAAUUCCUUGUCGGGUAAGUUCCGACCUGCACGAAUGGCGUAAUGAUGGCCAGGCUGUCUCCACCCGAGACUCAGUGAAAUUGAACUCGCUGUGAAGAUGCAGUGUACCCGCGGCAAGACGGAAAGACCCCGUGAACCUUUACUAUAGCUUGACACUGAACACUGGUCCUUGAUGUGUAGGAUAGGUGGGAGGCUUUGAAGCGUGGACGCCAGUCUGCGUGGAGCCAACCUUGAAAUACCACCCUUUAAUGGCUGGUGUUCUAACGUAGACCCGUAAUCCGGGUUGCGGACAGUGUCUGGUGGGUAGUUUGACUGGGGCGGUCUCCUCCCAAAGAGUAACGGAGGAGCACGAAGGUUAGCUAAUCCUGGUCGGACAUCAGGAGGUUAGUGCAAUGGCAUAAGCUAGCUUGACUGCGAGAGUGACGGCUCGAGCAGGUGCGAAAGCAGGUCAUAGUGAUCCGGUGGUUCUGAAUGGAAGGGCCAUCGCUCAACGGAUAAAAGGUACUCCGGGGAUAACAGGCUGAUACCGCCCAAGAGUUCAUAUCGACGGCGGUGUUUGGCACCUCGAUGUCGGCUCAUCACAUCCUGGGGCUGAAGUAGGUCCCAAGGGUAUGGCUGUUCGCCAUUUAAAGUGGUACGCGAGCUGGGUUUAGAACGUCGUGAGACAGUUCGGUCCCUAUCUGCCGUGGGCGCUGGAGAAUUGAGGGGGGCUGCUCCUAGUACGAGAGGACCGGAGUGGACGCAUCACUGGUGUUCGGGUUGUCAUGCCAAUGGCACUGCCCGGUAGCUAAAUGCGGAAGAGAUAAGUGCUGAAAGCAUCUAAGCACGAAACUUGCCCCGAGAUGAGUUCU